This 648-nucleotide long non-coding RNA is filed under the name Brassica napus (rape). Its description in RNAcentral is "long non-coding RNA (BNAP_LNC000091)". Lineage: Eukaryota; Viridiplantae; Streptophyta; Magnoliopsida; Brassicales; Brassicaceae. The record is from RNAcentral.
ACAUAUAUAUGUAUACAAUGCGAUAUUAAUUGUCUAUUUCCAUGUAUGUAUCGUCUAUGCAUGUUUAUCUUUAACAACUCAACCCGCAUGUUACCACUCCUCACCAACUACUUAAACAAGAUCGAAAUGGGACAAAACGAAGAACUCAACUUACUAGAAUGAAUCUAAAUUUUUUUUUUUGGGGUCGAAUUAGAAUGAAUCUAACUUAUGAUUUAUUUUACAAUAUGGAAUAUGAUCGAAAGUUGACUUGUCAUAAUUAACUAAUUCAUCUUAUGAAAUUAUUGAAGAAAUUUAUAUAUAUAUAUAUAUAUAUAUAGGCAGCCCUUUUUCAAAAAAUAUAUUUAUAAAUAGGCUUACUCAGAUAUACUAAUGGCAAUACCUUAGUCAUGUACUGAAAACUCGAACAUAUUUGCAUUUGCAAGGUAUUGUUGUUGUUUCUUCUUUUAUUAAAGGUGGAAUUGAAGUUCCAGACUUUAGAUCUAGAUUUCUUUAAAUGUGGAAUCCGUCCUUACAUGUUUUGAUUUAAAUAAUAAUUCUAUAUACCAGUGAUAUUCCUUUUUUACUUUGAAAUUAUAUGAAAACCAUGUCUAUACCUUUGAGUGACACUACUUCUUUGAAGCUAUUCAUGAAUCGAUCUUUUCUUUUAUA